This is a small nucleolar RNA of Choloepus hoffmanni (Hoffmann's two-fingered sloth), 136 nucleotides long. Lineage: Eukaryota; Metazoa; Chordata; Mammalia; Pilosa; Megalonychidae. The record is from Ensembl.
UUGCACAGUGUGAACACCCAAGUGUGCUUUAUAGUUCCCUUGGCUUUGACUCUGUGCGAGAGCAAUGUCUGUCCUUUUCCUCUGCAUUGAAAGGAAUAUUUAUCCUUUUAAAUGUGUUCAGAAGUUCAGGACAUUA